GAUGAACGCUGGCGGCGUGCCUAAUACAUGCAAGUCGAGCGAACAGACGAGGAGCUUGCUCCUCUGAUGUUAGCGGCGGACGGGUGAGUAACACGUGGAUAACCUACCUAUAAGACUGGGAUAACUUCGGGAAACCGGAGCUAAUACCGGAUAACAUGUUGAACCGCAUGGUUCAACAGUGAAAGACGGUCUUGCUGUCACUUAUAGAUGGAUCCGCGCCGCAUUAGCUAGUUGGUAAGGUAACGGCUUACCAAGGCAACGAUGCGUAGCCGACCUGAGAGGGUGAUCGGCCACACUGGAACUGAGACACGGUCCAGACUCCUACGGGAGGCAGCAGUAGGGAAUCUUCCGCAAUGGGCGAAAGCCUGACGGAGCAACGCCGCGUGAGUGAAGAAGGUCUUCGGAUCGUAAAACUCUGUUAUUAGGGAAGAACAAAUGUGUAAGUAACUAUGCACGUCUUGACAGUACCUAAUCAGAAAGCCACGGCUAACUACGUG
RNAcentral lists this ribosomal RNA (497 nucleotides) under uncultured bacterium. Its description in RNAcentral is "partial 16S ribosomal RNA". It matches the Rfam family "Bacterial small subunit ribosomal RNA", at positions 28 to 507 of the family's 1533-position model. The record is from RNAcentral.